This 496-nucleotide ribosomal RNA is filed under the name uncultured bacterium. RNAcentral describes it as "partial 16S ribosomal RNA". It matches the Rfam family "Bacterial small subunit ribosomal RNA", at positions 29 to 507 of the family's 1533-position model. The record is from RNAcentral.
AUGAACGCUGGCGGCGUGCCUAAUACAUGCAAGUCGAGCGAACAGACGAGGAGCUUGCUCCUCUGACGUUAGCGGCGGACGGGUGAGUAACACGUGGAUAACCUACCUAUAAGACUGGGAUAACUUCGGGAAACCGGAGCUAAUACCGGAUAAUAUAUUGAACCGCAUGGUUCAAUAGUGAAAGACGGUUUUGCUGUCACUUAUAGAUGGAUCCGCGCCGCAUUAGCUAGUUGGUAAGGUAACGGCUUACCAAGGCGACGAUGCGUAGCCGACCUGAGAGGGUGAUCGGCCACACUGGAACUGAGACACGAUCCAGACUCCUACGGGAGGCAGCAGUAGGGAAUCUUCCGCAAUGGGCGAAAGCCUGACGGAGCAACGCCGCGUGAGUGAUGAAGGUCUUCGGAUCGUAAAACUCUGUUAUUAGGGAAGAACAAAUGUGUAAGUAACUAUGCACGUCUUGACGGUACCUAAUCAGAAAGCCACGGCUAACUACGUG